Long non-coding RNA from Corapipo altera (White-ruffed manakin), 454 nucleotides. RefSeq lists it as uncharacterized. NCBI's taxonomy places the organism in Eukaryota, Metazoa, Chordata, Aves, Passeriformes, Pipridae. The record is from RefSeq and is a predicted model, not a curated record. The transcript has 3 exons.
UAACCAGUAUCCAGCUGAGAAGCUCGAUGAACAUGGCCAAUGCCAUUCUCUGGAAUCAAGCACAGAUCAGAGAAAUCACUUCACACUCAGAGAAAGGAAACGAGAGAAAAAGCUGAUUGUCCAUGCUUCCAUGGAUAACAGGCUGUGAAAGGCCGCACCAGCAUCAACCCUGCAUGUUUCUCUGGGCCAGGGACCAGCAGUUCAUCCAAAGGGAGCAGAGCUGCUGGGCUAGAGCUGAAUCUUGUUUUUCCGGAAACAGAGGGGGCUUUUGCUCACAGAUUUGCCAUUGGACCCAACUUCUAAUGAAUGGAAAUUUUGCAAAUGUUGGAAUCUGGAAUUGCCCCAUCUUUCUGCUCCUUUUAAAGAUGAAAGAAUCUUUUUUUUAAUGAAAUGCAUUGAAACAGUGUUAAAAUAAUUUAAAUUGGUGUUGUAUGGGGUUUUUUUGUUUGUUUCA